UGCCAGCCGCCGCGGUAAUACGGAGGGUACGAACGUUAAUCGGAAUUACUGGGCGUAAAGCGCGCGUAGGCGGUUCGCUAAGUGGGAUGUGAAAGCCCCGGGCUUAACCUGGGAAUUGCAUUCCAAGCUGGCGAACUAGAGUAUGGUAGAGGGUAGUAGAAUUUCCUGUGUAGCGGUGAAAUGCGUAGAUGUAGGAAGGAAUACCGAUGGCGAAGGCAGCUGCCUGGACCAAUACUGACGCUGAGGUGCGAAAGCGUGGGGAGCAAACAGGAUUAGAUA
This 279-nucleotide ribosomal RNA is filed under the name uncultured bacterium. RNAcentral's name for it is "partial 16S ribosomal RNA". It matches the Rfam family "Bacterial small subunit ribosomal RNA", at positions 506 to 784 of the family's 1533-position model. The record is from RNAcentral.